RNAcentral lists this ribosomal RNA (793 nucleotides) under uncultured bacterium. RNAcentral describes it as "bacterial SSU rRNA". It matches the Rfam family "Bacterial small subunit ribosomal RNA", at positions 607 to 1398 of the family's 1533-position model. The record is from RNAcentral.
CCUUACGGGCGGUGUGUGCAAUUGCAGUUGAUACUGCGUCGCUUGAGUGCACACAGGGAUGUUGGAAUUCAUGGUGUAGCGGUGAAAUGCUUAGAUAUCAUGAAGAACUCCGAUCGCGAAGGCAUAUGUCCGGAGUGCAACCGACGCUGAGGCUCGAAAGUGUGGGUAUCAAACAGGAUUAGAUACCCUGGUAGUCCACACAGUAAACGAUGAAUACUCGCGGUUGGUUCGUUAGAGUCAGCCGCCAAGCGAAAGCGUUAAGUAUUCCACCUGGGGAGUACGCCGGCAACGGUGAAACUCAAAGGAAUUGACGGGGGCCCGCACAAGCGGAGGAACAUGUGGUUUAAUUCGAUGAUACGCGAGGAACCUUACCCGGGCUUGAACUGCCAGUGACUCAUGCAGAGACGCAUGUUUCUUCGGACACUGGCGGAGGUGCUGCAUGGUUGUCGUCAGCUCGUGCCGUGAGGUGUCGGCUUAAGUGCCAUAACGAGCGCAACCCUUCUCCCUGUUUGCCAUCGGGUUAAGCCGGGCACUCCAGGGACACUGCCAUCGUAAGAUGUGAGGAAGGUGGGGAUGACGUCAAAUCAGCACGGCCCUUACGUCCGGGGCUACACACGUGUUACAAUGGGCGGUACAGAAAGCAGCUACCCCGCGAGGGGAUGCCAAUCUCAAAAACCGUUCUCAGUUCGGACUGGAGUCUGCAACCCGACUCCACGAAGCUGGAUUCGCUAGUAAUCGCGCAUCAGCCAUGGCGCGGUGAAUACGUUCCCGGGCCUUGCACACACCGCCCGUA